CGCUGGCGGCAGGCUAACACACUGCAGUCGAACGGUAACAGGAUAGCUUGCUAUCGCUGACGAGUGGCGGACGGGUGAGUAAUACUUAGGGAUCUGCCUCUGUGUGGGGGAUAACUAUUGGAAACGAUAGCUAAUACCGCAUAAUGUCUACGGACCAAAGCGGGCUUCGGCUCGUGCGCCGAGAGGAACCUAAGCGAGAUUAGCUAGUUGGUGAGGUAAAGGCUCACCAAGGCGACGAUCUCUAGCUGUUCUGAGAGGAAGAUCAGCCACACUGGAACUGAGACACGGUCCAGACUCCUACGGGAGGCAGCAGUGGGGAAUAUUGCACAAUGAGGGAAACCCUGAUGCAGCCAUGCCGCGUGUGUGAACGAAGGCCUUCGGGUUGUAAAGCACUUUCAGUUGUGAGGAAAGUUUAGUAGUUAAUACCUGCUAGAUGUGACGUUAGCAACAGAAGAAGCACCGGCUAACUCCGUGCCAGCAGCCGCGGUAAUACGGAGGGUGCGAGCGUUAAUCGGAAUUACUGGGCGUAAAGCGCACGCAGGCGGUCUGUUAAGCUAGAUGUGAAAGCCCCGCGCUCAACGUGGGAGGGUCAUUUAGAACUGGCAGACUAGAGU
RNAcentral lists this ribosomal RNA (614 nucleotides) under uncultured Gammaproteobacteria bacterium. Its description in RNAcentral is "bacterial SSU rRNA". It matches the Rfam family "Bacterial small subunit ribosomal RNA", at positions 34 to 647 of the family's 1533-position model. Lineage: Bacteria; Pseudomonadati; Pseudomonadota; Gammaproteobacteria. The record is from RNAcentral.